RNA transcript from Zeugodacus cucurbitae (melon fly), 3043 nucleotides. It is a transcript of the gene named coiled-coil domain-containing protein lobo-like, with no coding region annotated. NCBI's taxonomy places the organism in Eukaryota, Metazoa, Arthropoda, Insecta, Diptera, Tephritidae. The record is from RefSeq and is a predicted model, not a curated record. The transcript has 10 exons.
UAUAUAAUUGAAUCAUGCAUAGUUGCAUACAAAAACUUCAUGGGUAACAUCAUGAAUUAUGAGCAACACCUCUUUAAAAUUUAAAUCAAUAAGUCGACGAAUGCUCUGAAGUUGCUGUUAUUUGUUGCCAACGGAUUUUUUAUUUUCUGUUUAUAUUUGAUACACAUCACCAUGCCACCGAAAGGAAAAGGAAAGAGAGCUACUUCGAAAUCAGAUAUUGUUCGUAUUGACCCAAAAAGACAUGAGGCAAAGUUAAAGGAAAUCGAGGAGAGGCACAUUGCAGAAGCUUUGGCCGCUCAAGAGGAAGCCUUAGAGGAAGAGUUACUAGAUCAAGAGGAAAUGUGCGAAGAAGAAGAUGCAGUAGAGGAACAGUGGUCUGAUAUUGAAUCACCUCUCGACGUAGGACACAUAGACCUAUCGUUCACAGAGACUGCCUAUGAGUUUGCAAAUUCGCCUCAAUGCUAUCCACCAAGUUAUUAUAUGUUGUUGCCUAAGGAACGCAUUUUACUAUUAUAUGCUGAAAAUUUCCGCAAGCAAUUCGCAACACUUUAUCCAGAGAGAAGACCUCUAGUAUUAGCCUUAACAAAUGAAUGCAAUGUUCAGAAAUUUGUUUGCACUACAAUACGACCAACGGCAUUCAUACACAUUCCUUUGAUUGGCAGUGAAAUAGAAUGCGCCAAAUUUGUCGCUGACUUCAUUAUAUAUGAACCCUUAGAGGACAUGAUGAAAUUCCCAACGCGUUUAACAUCACCAGAAACCACUCUUCGAAAACGUCGAGGAAAUAGUUUUGAAAUGGCUACUUUGCUUUGUAGCAUGCUAAUUGGUGCAGGUUACCCCGCAAUGGUAGUAUCUGGGGUGGCACGUGCAGAGACAGUUUCUAAUGAUCAACGUAAUGUCCCAUAUCCCCACCAAAUUAAAGAGAUCAAGACCGAAGAAAAGGAAAAUCCAAAAACCGGGACUGGACAAAAAUACAAACUUCGUAGCAUGCCGGAUUUAGAAAGCCACCUAGAAGAGAAUAUGGUAGAAAUGAUGAAACAAAAAGAAGAAGACGAAAAACGAUUGCGAGAAGAAGCAGAACGUUUAGAGUUGGAGGAAAUGGAAUUGAUUGCUGUAGACCGAUAUCAUUUUCGACGAUCUCAUGCCUGGGUUGUCAUUGUUGACAACGCCCCAUGGAGUAUUAAGCCAAAAAAUACGUACACAAACGACGAAGGUGAUGAGGUACCUGAACCACCAAAAGCACGUUUCAUUGAGCCUUCCACAGGUUUUAUUUGUGGUACUCAUUGCAAGCAAUACAUUGUUAUUGACAGUGUGUGGGAUCAUCAAAAUUAUUAUGUGAACAUGCAGAAUUACCAAAGGGUCAGUGAAAUACGGUGGAAUUUACAAGAUAACCAUGAUUGGGAACAUCUUCUCCCAGGAGAGCCACCUGAAAUGCGUUUGUAUACUUUAGGAUCUGACGAAAAUAUCUCCGAAAGCAUAAGAUCGUUAGGAGAAGAAAAACAUUUAGACACAAUACGGUCCUGGGUACAUAAACUACAUAUUGGUCUGAAAGAAUUCGAAGAAAGAUUUCCUCACUUGCAAAAAACCAUUCAUUACUCUGGUGCGGUCCACGAACGAUUUUCGCCAUAUUCUCAACGUGAUGGCAAAUCUGAACAAUUAACCCUCUACAACGAUAACGAGUAUAAAGAACCACACAUUCGGUGGGAAUAUUAUCAAAAUAGGUCAGAUUUGCUACAGCAAAUUAAAAUAUUUUUUGAAAACGGAAAAAUUGAAGAAACAUUUCUUAAAGGUCGAAACGACAGCCUUCGGUUUAUGGAGUACAACCGUGAUCCUAAUGAACCAAAAACAUUACAUUUUUAUCCAGACACUAGAGUAGACUCCUUGAAAAGCCUCUCCGUUAGCAGUGAGAGAAUUGUUCUUAAUUACAGUAACCGAGCCGAUCAGUGUACUUUAAAGGAAUUCGAAUUUAAACCAGGGGGACAAGUUCUAAAGAAAACAAUUGAAAAAUUUAAGCGUCAGACUAUUGGAAAUGUACCGGCAUAUAAAGACAUUGCAGUGCGAAUGAUCGAUUUUGACCAUGGCAAAAUAUUACUAAACUUUCACUAUGCCCUUGGAGCCUUGACCUCAUCAACAUUAUCAUUUACCAAACCAGCAAAACCAGAUUAUGGACACGAAAUAAAAUUUGAUCCUCAACUUACAAAAUCCUACAAAGCAAAUCUUUCCGAUCCUGAUCCUACGCCUUUAGAACUGUACAAGCUAUUAUUAGACGAACUAAAACACGAAGAUAAAGUCAAAAAGCAAUUUGAUAAAAUUAUUGAAGAAAUCAAUGGAAUAUUUGAUCUUCGAAGGCAAGAAAUAAAAUAUCCUGUUUUGAAAUUUAGUAUAUUUGAUCCCUUGCGUAACGGAGCGGCUAGAGAAUUACAAAUGAGAAAGCCGUUCACAAUAGGAAAAUGGUUCUAAAAUGUGUAAAACAAAACUUGGUAGCACUCAGCAAGCGGCGAAAGAAUUUUUAAUGAGCUGCUGAAGAAGAAGCGUUUAAACUUGAGAUGUCUAGAAAACCUGCAGAUUUCUUAGUCCCAUAUUUGAUACCUUACAAAACUCGAUCACUUACAUAUGAAGAAUCAUGGGCAGCUUACAACGCUUGUUUAUAUGAACUUAAAACCCGGUUUGUGGGACUCUUAAACGACCUUCAACGUCAAUACGAAGAUCUUACUGCUGAAGCAAAAUCUCUUGAACGGUUUUUAAACAAAUUUGAAGAUCAGUUUGAUAACUAUAAUUAUGAGAAACUUGUGGAGCAAUCCGGCGUCAUUGCUUUACACAAGCGAAUGAUUCAACAACGUUUGACGUUAACACAUGAAGAAUCACAAAAGAAAUAUGAUACUGUGAAAAAAUCUCUUUUGAGAGAUCAUCGUCUCAAUUUAAAGCGUACAUCCAAUGGAGAGGAUUAGAUAUACAUAAUUCCUUGAAUACGCCAAGUCACUUAAAUUUGUACAAAUUACUAUUUUUUUAGAUUAAUAAUCCUUAUAAAAUGUUUUGUGCUAUUUCA